UGUGCAGGGAUGGGAAUCGAACCCACAAUGUUCCGCUUACCGGGCAGAUGCCAUGUCCACUAGGCUACCCUGGAC
Molecule: transfer RNA, 75 nt
Filed under: Cordylochernes scorpioides
Lineage: Eukaryota; Metazoa; Arthropoda; Arachnida; Pseudoscorpiones; Chernetidae
Description: tRNA-Thr
Source: RNAcentral